UCGCGCGCGACAAGGCAAGUUGUGCUAAAAGGUCUGGUCCAUAACUGAUCGCAUGGAAGCUACACGAAGGGCCAGAGGGAGGAACAUUGGGUUUUAAGAGGGCAAGCCAGGAGUGUUUCUAGUUUUUAAGGGCAGUAAUACUAAAUAGAUACAGGGUUUGAGACCGAAUGUCAUUUAAUUCAAUAAAUUUUAAUGUAUAUACAUAAAA
Long non-coding RNA from Leguminivora glycinivorella, 208 nucleotides. RefSeq lists it as uncharacterized. The record is from RefSeq and is a predicted model, not a curated record. Lineage: Eukaryota; Metazoa; Arthropoda; Insecta; Lepidoptera; Tortricidae. The transcript has 2 exons.